Molecule: ribosomal RNA, 469 nt
Filed under: uncultured bacterium
Lineage: Bacteria
Description: partial 16S ribosomal RNA
Rfam family: Bacterial small subunit ribosomal RNA
Source: RNAcentral
GACGAACGCUGGCGGCGUGCUUAACACAUGCAAGUCGAACGGAAAGGCCCUGCUUGCCGGGUGCUCGAGUGGCGAACGGGUGAGUAACACGUGGGUGAUCUGCCCCUUACUUUGGGAUAAGCCUGGUAAACUGGGUCUAAUACUGGAUAGGACCAUGCUGUAGGUGGUGUGGUGGAAAGAUUAGUUUCGGUAAGGGAUGAGCUCGCGGCCUAUCAGCUUGUUGGUGGGGUAAUGGCCUACCAAGGCGUCGACGGGUAGCCGGCCUGAGAGGGUGGACGGCAACAUUGGGACUGAGAUACGGCCCAGACGCAUACGGGAGGCAGCAGUGGGGAAUAGUGCAAAAUGGGCGCAAGCCUGAUGCAGCGACGCCGCGUGGGGGAUGACGGCCUUCGGGUUGUAAACUCCUUUCAGCCAUGACGAAGCCCUUGUGGUGACGGUAGUGGUAGAAGAAGCACCGGCUAACUACGUG